This is a long non-coding RNA of Ruditapes philippinarum (Manila clam), 466 nucleotides long. RefSeq lists it as uncharacterized. The record is from RefSeq and is a predicted model, not a curated record. The transcript is spliced from 3 exons. Lineage: Eukaryota; Metazoa; Mollusca; Bivalvia; Venerida; Veneridae.
GUAACAUGCUAUUAGGAGAAUGACAGUUCAUAACAGAAACAGCAUUAAAUAAGAAUUAUUAUUUUGCAGACACAAAGCAAUGAGGAGCAGCCUGGACAACACAUUUGAUCUUCAGUGGCUUUACAAAGGACCAAGUGAUGGCAGAACUGAAGCCAUAUGCCUCAAAAGAGAAAGGUACAGCAAAGCUCUUCAGAAUGCUAUUCAAUAUAGAAGAGAUUAAAGGCCGCUCAUUGUUUGGUAUGAGGAAAGGGAACAGAGAGUCUGACGCCAGACCUUCUUGUGCAGACAAGGCAAAACUUAAGUUCUUGGAAGAUUGUGCGCUCGAAAAGUUGCCGACAACCUAAGGACUGAACUCAAACCGUCCAGGAAUAGCAAGAUAAACUGAAGAAAAUAAAUGGACUAAUGUUUUGCUAUUUUUUGAGACAAUAUAUAAUUUCAUAUGGAAACAUUAAAAAGGAUUAUUAUA